Molecule: long non-coding RNA, 568 nt
Filed under: Phoenix dactylifera (date palm)
Lineage: Eukaryota; Viridiplantae; Streptophyta; Magnoliopsida; Arecales; Arecaceae
Description: long non-coding RNA (PDAC_LNC001471)
Source: RNAcentral
AGAGGUUAGAAGAAUUACAGAUUUUAGGUCUAUGAAGGAUUAUAUUAUAGGUCGGUUUGGGAAAUCCAAUACUUGCAUUCAACCUAUUUUAUCUUUUGAUCAUGGUCAGGUUCAGAUCAUAUCUUCAUGAUGUUUGACAAUUAACUUGACCCGAAAUGUGCCCUCUCUGCGGCCUGAGGUUCUUAGUUCUAUUCAGGAUGGUGGCACUCUCACCGCAUUUCUCACUGUAAAAGGAUCCAAAAUAUGAAUAGGCUUCAAUCUUUAAGACUUGGUCCCGAUCCCUCUUGUGGAUACGGAUUGGUCUGAUAAUUUUGCAGCCAUAAUCUCCGCAUCUAAUUAUUUUCUUUUGAUGAUGCAUUCCUCAUCGAGUGCAUGUGUCAAGUUUAUUUUUUUUCUUCUCGAAAAGAAGAAAAACAAAUACAUGGGUAAAGAAGUAAAGGAUGUUUUGGUUUCAAUGUGUUUGCAUGGAUUUUGUCAUCAUUUAGAGUGUAAGUUGCCAAGACAGAGAGGCUGUAUUGUUUAUUUUGUUUGGGGGAGGGGGAGCAAAACUAGGCAGGCUCCUCAACUG